This 236-nucleotide unclassified non-coding RNA is filed under the name plant metagenome. RNAcentral's name for it is "partial contains small subunit ribosomal RNA, internal transcribed spacer 1, and 5.8S ribosomal RNA". The record is from RNAcentral.
UUUCCGUAGGUGAACCUGCGGAAGGAUCAUUACCGAGUGAGGGCCCUUUGGGUCCAACCUCCCACCCGUGUUUAUUUACCUUGUUGCUUCGGCGGGCCCGCCUUAACUGGCCGCCGGGGGGCUAACGCCCCCGGGCCCGCGCCCGCCGAAGACACCCUCGAACUCUGUCUGCAGAUUGUAGUCUGAGUGAAAAUAUAAAUUAUUUAAAACUUUCAACAACGGAUCUCUUGGUUCCG